RNAcentral lists this ribosomal RNA (545 nucleotides) under Clostridioides difficile. Its description in RNAcentral is "bacterial SSU rRNA". It matches the Rfam family "Bacterial small subunit ribosomal RNA", at positions 995 to 1533 of the family's 1533-position model. Lineage: Bacteria; Bacillati; Bacillota; Clostridia; Peptostreptococcales; Peptostreptococcaceae. The record is from RNAcentral.
CAUCUCCUUAAUCGGAGAGUUCCCUUCGGGGACAUUGGUGACAGGUGGUGCAUGGUUGUCGUCAGCUCGUGUCGUGAGAUGUUGGGUUAAGUCCCGCAACGAGCGCAACCCUUGUCUUUAGUUGCCAUCAUUAAGUUGGGCACUCUAGAGAGACUGCCAGGGAUAACCUGGAGGAAGGUGGGGAUGACGUCAAAUCAUCAUGCCCCUUAUGCUUAGGGCUACACACGUGCUACAAUGGGUAGUACAGAGGGUUGCCAAGCCGUAAGGUGGAGCUAAUCCCUUAAAGCUACUCUCAGUUCGGAUUGUAGGCUGAAACUCGCCUACAUGAAGCUGGAGUUACUAGUAAUCGCAGAUCAGAAUGCUGCGGUGAAUGCGUUCCCGGGUCUUGUACACACCGCCCGUCACACCACGGGAGUUGGAGACGCCCGAAGCCGAUUAUCUAACCUUUUGGAAGAAGUCGUCGAAGGUGGAAUCAAUAACUGGGGUGAAGUCGUAACAAGGUAGCCGGAUCGGAAGGUGCGGCUGGAUCACCUCCUUUCUAAGGA